UUUGACUGAAUAGAUAGACGCCCCAAUUAGGACACUGCGAGGAAUGAAUGGCGCACUUAUGCCACUGUGGCUUCUGAUUUUGGUGGGGAGAGUACCUGGAUUGUACCCAGACAGUGGAUUUAAUAUUGUUGAUUUUAGACAGGUUGUCACAGGAAGGAUAAGAUCAUCAAGGAUGUCAGCCACCUGAGCCACGGCCUGUUCACCCACCUAGAAGGCGGAGACAGUACAGGUGCAUCAAAGAUGGGACCAUAAGACUGAGAAACAACUUAUAUCUCCAGCCCAUCAGACUGUUAAACAAUCAUCAUCAGUACCCUGCCCUGGUCAAUUUAAUAAUGUUUACAUACUGUUU
Molecule: long non-coding RNA, 349 nt
Organism: Oncorhynchus tshawytscha (Chinook salmon)
Lineage: Eukaryota; Metazoa; Chordata; Actinopteri; Salmoniformes; Salmonidae
Exons: 3
Source: RefSeq, a predicted model, not a curated record